Long non-coding RNA from Trachemys scripta elegans, 1574 nucleotides. RefSeq lists it as uncharacterized. NCBI's taxonomy places the organism in Eukaryota, Metazoa, Chordata, Testudines, Emydidae. The transcript has 2 exons. The record is from RefSeq and is a predicted model, not a curated record.
UCAAACCAAUUUCUUUCAUCAUUCACAUAGCAAAGCAGUUUGGUUUGUCAAACCAAAUCAGAACAUUUUGUUUCAGCAUGGUUCAACAUUGAACAGCACCUGUGGCUCCUCAUGGGAGUUGUAGUUUGGGGGCCUUCUGCCCCCUUCUGUGUGCUGAGAUCCUGGGUUGGACUACAUCUCCCAUGAUGCCCAGCAGUGGCUCAGCCAAUAGGGAAACCAUGGGGCAUUAUAGGAUAUGUAGUUUUGGGGGAACCCAACCCAGAGUGGAGAAUGGAGGUAUGACGCCCAAAUUAUAACUCCCAUGAGGCACCUUGGUAACUCAGUUGGCUACAGAUUAAUGUCAAACUGACCCGAAACAAAAUCAUUGCCCAAUGGAAAAUAGAAAGUUCUCAGUGAAAUCAAAAUUAAACUCAGAAAAAAUUAAUCUUUGUGACAUUUUCUGUCACAGAAAUAUUUUUAUGAAAAAUCUUCAGCCAGCUCUACGAAAUACACUGGACUAGUCUUAGCACCAUGUCCCUGUGUGGGCUGACCAACCCAGAGUUCAUGGAGCGGACGGGUGCUGCCUCUGAGUUGGGGAUUCAUUUCUUGGUGUAGAAUUCCCAGCCUGGACCACCUGCCCAGCUCCCCCUGUGUAGCAGCCCAGAGAACCCAGUGUAGGUUGUAGAGAUCCCAGACAUGGAGAUGUGUAACGUGUAUUUGCUGUUACUUUUUUAACAAAGGAUUUCCUGGUGCACCAUAAAGGACCCUCUGACCACUGGAUCGGUCUCUGGAGGGAACCGGACCAACCCUGGAUGUGGACCAGUGGGAAAGAAUUCAACAACUGGUUUAAAAUAAAGGGACGAGGCCUGUGUGCUUUUGCGAACAAUGGCGAAAUUGCCAGUUCAGGCUGCUCCAGGGACGCACACUGGAUCUGCAGCAAACUAGUGGAGAGACCAGAAGGCCGAGCAAAGUGACUGUAACCUGGAUGAGUCGGGCCUUGUCCUUUCCAUGGGGCUGUCCCAAGUUGCCUCAGCGAGUGGGGAACUGGGUGGGGCUGGUGAAGGAGGACAGCCCCAGCCGCAAGGAAGAGAGACGCUCGCUGAAGGACAUCUGAUAGCUCCUCCCCUUGGAGCCUCUGGCACCCAUUGGCCCAUCUGGGGACUGGGGUGAGGGUGCGGAUUAGCCAGCAGCCCCCAGCUCCCUGUCUGGCACAGAGAAGGGAUCUUUUGACUUGGCUGCUCCCCUUCUGAUUUCCAAGCCUGCUGUGUCCCUCCUGUCAGAGGCCCAGGGCAGGAGCCUGGCCCGGGCUGUGGCUAGAAGCCAAUGUACCGGCUGGGGCCAUGGGGAGGUGCUGUGGCCCCUGCAGCCAUGGGGCGAAGGGGCCGGUGUGAACCCUGCAGCCUGUGGGAAGGACGCAUGAACUCUGCUGUACAGCGAGAAGGGCUGUUGUGCAGGCCCUGCUGAGCGCUGGGGGAGCGAGAAGAGACGCCGCAGACAGGAGGGGAUUGCUGGGACGUGCUAGGACAGACGUGUGUGUGUGUGUGUGUGUAUACAUGUGUGUACAGAAUUAUUUGUAUAAUAAUACACCAGCUCCC